UACGAAGGGGGCUAGCGUUGCUCGGAAUUACUGGGCGUAAAGCGCACGUAGGCGGCUUUCUAAGUCGGGGGUGAAAUCCUGGAGCUCAACUCCAGAACUGCCUUCGAUACUGGAGAGCUCGAGUCCGGGAGAGGUGAGUGGAACUGCGAGUGUAGAGGUGAAAUUCGUAGAUAUUCGCAAGAACACCGAUGGCGAAGGCAGCCCCCUGGGCCAACACUGACGCUCAGGCACGAAAGCGUGGGGAGCAAACAGG
RNAcentral lists this ribosomal RNA (253 nucleotides) under uncultured bacterium. RNAcentral's name for it is "partial 16S ribosomal RNA". It matches the Rfam family "Bacterial small subunit ribosomal RNA", at positions 524 to 776 of the family's 1533-position model. The record is from RNAcentral.